This 478-nucleotide ribosomal RNA is filed under the name uncultured bacterium. RNAcentral describes it as "partial 16S ribosomal RNA". It matches the Rfam family "Bacterial small subunit ribosomal RNA", at positions 28 to 523 of the family's 1533-position model. The record is from RNAcentral.
GACGAACGCUGGCGGCGUGCUUAACACAUGCAAGUCGAACGGUAAGGCCCUUCGGGGUACACGAGUGGCGAACGGGUGAGUAACACGUGGGUGAUCUUCCGUGCACUUCGGGAUAAGCCUGGGAAACUGGGUCUAAUACCGGAUAGGACCACUGCCUGCAUGGGUGGUGGCUGAAAGCUUUUGCGGUGGUGGAUGGGGCCGAGGCCUAUCAGCCUGUUGGUGGGGAGGUGGCCUAGCAAGGCGACGAACGGUAGACGGCCUGAGAGGGAGACCGCCGGCCCUGGGGCCUUGAUACCGUGGAGACUCUUACGGAGUGCGGCACUGGGGUAUAUUGCUCAAUGGGCGCGAGCCAGAAACGGCGACGCCGCGUGUGGGAGUACGGCCUUCUGGUUGUAAACCUCUUUCAGUUCCGGCGAAGCGCAAGUGACGGUAGGUGCAGAAGAAGGACCGGCUAACUACGUGCCAGCCGCCGCCGUAA